RNAcentral lists this non-coding RNA (27 nucleotides) under Mus musculus (house mouse). The record is from RNAcentral. Lineage: Eukaryota; Metazoa; Chordata; Mammalia; Rodentia; Muridae.
UCCAACUCCAGUAGCCUUAAAUCUAGU